CCUACGGCUGGCAGCAGUGGGGAAUAUUGGGCAAUGGGCGCAAGCCUGACCCAGCAACGCCGCGUGAAGGAAGAAGGCUCUCGGGUUGUAAACCUCUUUUCUCAGGGACGAAGCAAGUGACGGUACCUGAGGAAUAAGCCACGGCUAACGACGUGCCAGCAGCCGCGGUAAUACGUAGGCGGCAAGCGUUAUCCGGAUUUACUGGGUGUAAAGGGCGUGUAGGCGGGAAAGUAAGUCAGAUGUGAAAACCAUGGGCUCAACCUGUGGACUGCAUUUGAAACUGGUUGUCUUGAGUACUGGAGAGGCAGGCGGAAUUCGUAGUGUAGCGGUGAAAUGCGUAGAUAUUAGGAGGAACACCGAUGGCGAAGGCAGUCUGCUGGACAGCAACUGACGCUGAGGCGCGAAAGCGUGGGGAGCAAACAGGAUUAGAUACCCCGGUAGUC
RNAcentral lists this ribosomal RNA (443 nucleotides) under uncultured bacterium. RNAcentral describes it as "partial 16S ribosomal RNA". It matches the Rfam family "Bacterial small subunit ribosomal RNA", at positions 338 to 795 of the family's 1533-position model. The record is from RNAcentral.